AGUUGUCUGAUUUUAAGCCCAAUGCAGCAAAAUUAUUUUUCAAUACGGAUUUCUAAAAACAAAAUAAAUUAACAUUUUAAUGAAGGCAUUAUGGAGAAGUUAACUGUUACCUAAUAUUGAAAAAAAAAUCGAAAUCACUUGUUUCCUUUACUGGCAUACCGUUUCGAAACCAGUUCAAUUUAAUUUAAUUUUAUAAAGUGUACAUUGCUGUAGUGGUGACGAGUCAUGGAUCUUUGAGUAUGAUCUCGAGACAAAGAGGUAUAUUGAGACGACAGAGGGAGUCCAAGCAGCAUGCACCUCGGCUCUCAAGGCUAUUCCGGAGAAUGCCUUCCGUGACGCCUUGAAUGAUUGGAAAUCGUGCUGGCAGCGUUGCAUCAACGCAGAAGGAGGCUAUUUUGAAAGUUUUUAAAGAAUUGUAAUUAUUGGUUCAAUAAAUUUUUUUUAAA
Long non-coding RNA from Bactrocera neohumeralis, 446 nucleotides. RefSeq lists it as uncharacterized. The record is from RefSeq and is a predicted model, not a curated record. The transcript is spliced from 2 exons. NCBI's taxonomy places the organism in Eukaryota, Metazoa, Arthropoda, Insecta, Diptera, Tephritidae.